CAGUAACGGCGAGUGAAGCGGCAACAGCUCAAAUUUGAAAUCUGGCUCCUUCGGGGCCCGAGUUGUAAUUUGUAGAAGAUGCUUCGGGUGUGGCCCGGUCUAAGUUCCUUGGAACAGGACGUCACAGAGGGUGAGAAUCCCGUCUGACCGGCCGCCUAUGCCCGUGUGAAGCUCUUUCGACGAGUCGAGUUGUUUGGGAAUGCAGCUCUAAAUGGGUGGUAAAUUUCAUCUAAAGCUAAAUAUUGGCCAGAGACCGAUAGCGCACAAGUAGAGUGAUCGAAAGAUGAAAAGCACUUUGGAAAGAGAGUUAAACAGUACGUGAAAUUGUUGAAAGGGAAGCGCUUGCAACCAGACUUGCGCGUCGCCGAUCAUCUGGUGUUCUCACCGGUGCGCUCGGCGACGUUCAGGCCAGCAUCAGUUCGGGUGGUUGGAUAAAGGCCCUGGGAAUGUGGCUCCCCUCGGGGAGUGUUAUAGCCCAGGGUGCAAUGCAGCCCACCGGGACUGAGGACCGCGCUUCGGCUAGGAUGCUGGCGUAAUGGUUGUAAGCGACCCGUCUUGAAACACGGACCAAGGAGUCUAACAUCGAUGCGAGUGUUUGGGUGUCAAACCCAUGCGCGUAAUGAAAGUGAACGGAGGUGAGAACCCCCCGGGGUGCAUCAUCGACCGAUCCUGAUGUCUUCGGAUGGAUUUGAGUAAGAGCAUUGCUGUUGGGACCCGAAAAAUGGCGAACUAUACUUGAAUAGGGUGAAGCCAGAGGAAACUCUGGUGGAGGCUCGCAGCGGUUCUGACGUGCAAAUCGAUCGUCAAAUUUGGGUAUAGGGGCGAAAGACUAAUCGAGCCAUUUAGUAGCU
This 851-nucleotide ribosomal RNA is filed under the name fungal sp. RNAcentral describes it as "partial large subunit ribosomal RNA". It matches the Rfam family "Eukaryotic large subunit ribosomal RNA", at positions 81 to 952 of the family's 3401-position model. The record is from RNAcentral. Lineage: Eukaryota; Fungi.